Acanthosepion pharaonis is the source of this 98-nucleotide non-coding RNA. NCBI's taxonomy places the organism in Eukaryota, Metazoa, Mollusca, Cephalopoda, Sepiida, Sepiidae. The record is from the annotation of a GenBank genome assembly.
UGUUGAAACACCAGUUCCCGUACGAUCAUCGAAGUUAAGCAACGUCGAGCCUGAUCAGUACCUAGAUGGGUGACCGCUUGGGAAUACCAGGUACAGUA